AACGAACGCUGGCGGCAUGCCUAACACAUGCAAGUCGAACGAGAUCUUCGGGUCUAGUGGCGCACGGGUGCGUAACGCGUGGGAAUCUGCCCUUUGGUUCGGAAUAACAGUUGGAAACGACUGCUAAUACCGGAUGAUGACGAAAGUCCAAAGAUUUAUCGCCAGAGGAUGAGCCCGCGUAGGAUUAGCGAGUUGGUGUGGUAAAGGCGCACCAAGGCGACGAUCCUUAGCUGGACUGAGAGGAUGAUCAGCCACACUGGGACUAGGUCACGGCCCAGACUCCUACGGGAGGCAGCAGUGGGGAAUAUUGGACAAUGGGCGAAAGCCUGAUCCAGCACUGCCGCGUGAUGGAUGAAGGCCUUAGGGUUGUAAAGCUCUUUUACCCGGGAUGAUAAUGACAGUACCGGGAGAAUAAGCUCCGGCUAACUCCGUGCCAGCCGCCGCCGUAA
RNAcentral lists this ribosomal RNA (449 nucleotides) under uncultured bacterium. Its description in RNAcentral is "partial 16S ribosomal RNA". It matches the Rfam family "Bacterial small subunit ribosomal RNA", at positions 29 to 523 of the family's 1533-position model. The record is from RNAcentral.